CAGUCGCCACGGUAAUACGGAGGGUGCAAGCGUUAUCCGGAUUUAUUGGGUUUAAAGGGUCCGUAGGCGGACUUAUAAGUCAGUGGUGAAAGCCUGUCGCUUAACGAUAGAACUGCCAUUGAUACUGUAAGUCUUGAGUAUAUUUGAGGUAGCUGGAAUAAGUAGUGUAGCGGUGAAAUGCAUAGAUAUUACUUAGAACACCAAUUGCGAAGGCAGGUUACCAAGAUAUAACUGACGCUGAGGGACGAAAGCGUGGGUAGCGAACAGGAUUAGAUACCCCAGUAGUCCCUGUCUCUUAUAA
RNAcentral lists this ribosomal RNA (301 nucleotides) under uncultured bacterium. RNAcentral describes it as "partial 16S ribosomal RNA". It matches the Rfam family "Bacterial small subunit ribosomal RNA", at positions 509 to 809 of the family's 1533-position model. The record is from RNAcentral.